This 95-nucleotide small nuclear RNA is filed under the name Triticum dicoccoides. The record is from RNAcentral. Lineage: Eukaryota; Viridiplantae; Streptophyta; Magnoliopsida; Poales; Poaceae.
GUCCCUUCAGGGACAUGUGAUAAAAUUGGAAUGAUACAGGGAAUAUUAGCAUGGCCGCUUCAAGGAUUUUUUUUUGAGAAUCUCACAAAGCUUUA